UACGGGGGGGGCAAGCGUUGUUCGGAAUUACUGGGCGUAAAGGGCUCGUAGGCGGCCAACUAAGUCAGACGUGAAAUCCCUCGGCUUAACCGGGGAACUGCGUCUGAUACUGGAUGGCUGGAGAUUGGGAGAGGGAUGCGGAAUUCCAGGUGUAGCGGUGAAAUGCGUAGAUAUCUGGAGGAACACCGGUGGCGAAGGCGGCGUUCUGGACUGCAACUGACACUGAGAGACGAAAGCCAGGGGAGCAAACGGG
RNAcentral lists this ribosomal RNA (253 nucleotides) under uncultured bacterium. Its description in RNAcentral is "partial 16S ribosomal RNA". It matches the Rfam family "Bacterial small subunit ribosomal RNA", at positions 524 to 776 of the family's 1533-position model. The record is from RNAcentral.